AACAGAACCUCCUUAUCGAGGCCAUUCCAUUAGUGUGCGAAGACCCUAGGAAGGCAAGACUUCCCUAAAGGCGCAAACGGCUGUGACUCAAUCGUCCUCACCAACACAUGGAAUCAGAGUUGGCAAAGAAACACAGACGCCGACUUCCUGAGGCAUGAGUUUUGUAAUGGAACACUAAAGGGACACACGUGUCCAUCAGCGGGAGAGUGGCUUAAAUUCAUCGUGGAGUAUGUCAACAAUGGAAUGUCGCAGCCGGUUUGAAGCAACAAGUGGAAGCUAUCCGCACAUGCUCAAGGGUGCACCUGAAUGAAUGAAGUCAGAGAAUCAAGUGUGUGUGGUUUCAUGUGAUAACCGUGUCCAUGGAGGGGAUGCGUUUAUACACUUCUUUCUAGUUUAAAGAUGUCUGAGAGGUAGGAAAAGGAAACAUGGUAAAAAUACAUUCUGGGUCAGGGCUGGAUUGAAGGACUUAGUGAUGUUUCCAAAACCACAAUGCAUCCUGUUCUGCUCACAGUCACCAACAGGGUUCAGUUUCACUAACUAUUAAAUUCUAAGACAUUAUCCUGGCUCCAAAGCCAUCCCUCUCUUCUCUUGGUCUCCAUGAUUAUGUUUCCCUUCCUAGUCUGUUUUCCAUUCACUCUUCCAAGCGCACUUCCUUCUUCAGCCCCACUGUCCUGUCUGCCUGAGAUGAAUGCACCAGGAAUGUUGGACUGACGUUUCUCUCAGGUGUCAGCCCCCCUUGUUGAGGACCAGUAGAGCUGGCCUGUGGGACAGCCAGGGGUGAUGUCCCCCGAGGAACUCCUGUGGGAAGGACUCAUCGGUCACAGUGUACUGAAGGAUUAGAACAGUGGGUUUAAAUUCUAAUUUCAAACACUUUGCGGUGGGAAAAAAGAUGGGGUGCUCAAAUUCAACCUGCUUAUGUUUGUAUCACUGCCCUCAGUACGACAUUACAAGCCAUAUUAUAACUUCCUAUUUGCAUAGGAACUUUAUUCACAUAUAAAUUAUAUUUAUAAAUUAUAAAUAUAUCCUAAAUGACAUAGCUCACUGAAUUUAAGUGACAUAAAUACGUGAAUGAAAUCAGUAGAAGACAUUUUUCACAUCUAACUAUAAUGUUUUCAUAAUAUAUUUUUUUUUGUGGUGCUGUGGGCCAAAGCCAGGGAGACACAUUGCUGGCAUAGCAUUCUACCACUAAAUUGAUAGAAUUUUUGACUGAAAGGAGUGUGCAUAAGUGCAUGUAUUCAAACAGUUUAAACCAAAUGUAUGAAAUACUGGAAGGAUAUGUUUUAUACGCUAAUUGAAAAUAAAUAGGUUUGAUAACAUGCUCUGUAAUCUUAACAAUGUGGCACUAUGUGGAACCAGGGGGAUGGCUCAGCAGGUAGAGAGAACUCACUGCUCCUGCCAAGGAUAGGGGUUCAGUUUCCAGCACCCACAUUUUAGCUCACACUCUCUUUAACUCCAGCUUUAAAAAGAUCCAUCGCCCUCUUCUGGCCUCCACAGGCACUGCACAUAAACGGUGCACAGAUACACAUUCAGGCCCACACAUGUUUUAUCAUCGUUAAUGGUGACUGCAAAGUUGUAUUUUUAUUAUUAUGUUUAACCAAAUUCCAAAUAUUCCAGCAAAUCUCCUAACAGCCUAUCUGACACCAUCAUCCUUUUACCCUCUCAAGAGGAGGAUGAAGACAACUGUUGACUUAGCCGUUUUCCUCAACUGAUUAACUCAAUGAGCGUUUGUUCAUUAUCUCUAUGUGACAGACUAGAAACUCCGGUGAGGCUAGGGCCAAACGCACCUUACUUUCGAUGUAUCCCCAGCUCAGGCACACAGUACAUACUCACUUGGUGUUUACCCAGUAGCAUGUGGGAGAGCUGGGCACUUUCCACAGGAUGGAAAUGCUCUAAAGGACCUCAGUCACUGCCUUCCCAUCACCCCAUAGCCAAGCUCCUGGAGUAAACUGGCUUUGACUUGGAAGCUCCCACAUCUGCACUGUGUAUACAUCUGCCUUGGCUAUACGUUCUUGUUCUCACUCCCUCCCUUGUCUUGGCUCCCAUGCUGGAUGGCACUUGCUGUGUUAGAAUUUGGAAUCAGCCUUGGUUGUUGGUCCCUCCUGGGGCCUGGCUAUAGGGAGGGGGACUCUCUCAGUACCUCCUAGGGAGCUGUCCACAGUACCGCUUUCCAGCCCUUGCUUGUCCUUUCCCUGGAGACUUUCUCAACAGCAUAGCCCCAGGACAACAUUAGUGUUUAUGGACAAUAUUAGUGUUUAUGGGAAAACAUAUUGCUUUCUGGAAAGCGUGUUUCCAAAUGAUCCCACGUGUCAAAUAAUUGCCCAAUCUAUGACCAAAAUGAAAUAGAUAUUUUUAAAUCGCACGACAUUAAAGACCUAUAGACAAGCUGUGGGUUAGCAAGGGGAAGAAGGUUCAGUAGAGGUGACUAGCAACCGUUCAGUGCUGUGCGAGCAUGUGUUUUCCCACAGCUGGUGUGUAAACGGACAUUGGAAAGUGAGCCAUGCUGUGGUUGUCCUGAGGACAGCGGGGAAUCGGGUAAGUAGAGAGCAGAUCAUGACCUAGAAAGAAGAGUCAUUUUCCCAGCAGGUGUAAGAAAGUCACGUGUGGACUGCGAGGGAGGGGCUUCAGCUCCCUUUAUAAGGAAGCAGUUUGAGCAAGUCUUCCUCUCAGUGUGACCUGGUGCUAAGCUCAUACUGUGUGUCUCCUGUGACUUCACAAAGGGAUUAACUCCUACUGCGGCAGAGGUGGCCUGAGGACAGCUUUAUAUUUCGGAGUUAAAGAGUGGUUCUGAAGACGUUUAAAAAAUGCUGGGUUUUUCCCAUAUCCGAUGUAAAAAUAAAGAGAAAGGGAGAAAUGUAUACUCACCUUGGUAAAGUACAGGCAAAAGCUAGAAAAUAUGUCCUACAGAAACGAUGCGGGGGCCUAGGGAGGCCCCCUAGUGACUCCCCUGUUCUUCUCUGCCUAGGAUGGCCACACGUAGAGCUGAGAAGUGCUGCUUUUCUGCUAACCGCACCAUGGCAGGAUCUGUAAACCCGAGUACCUGACUGGGAGCAGCAGGACUGGAUGCUAUGAUAUCCCAUGGCAGAGGCAGGAGCAGGAGCAGGCAGGUCGAGACCAUAGUUAUUAGAACUCUGAGAUCAAUAUUGCUUUGGGUUUCCAACACACACACACACACACACACACACACACACACACACACACACACACACACACACACAGUGUGAAGCUUAAAUGGAUUUGUAAGGUGUUUUAAAAUUCUUACGAGUGAGUUUUCGUGAGAGAAAUAUACACCAGACAUUCCUUUAGGUGUACGGCAGUGAACAAAAUAGAGGAUUCUCAUUUCACAGAGCCCUUCGAUCCAGUAUGGAAACUGGAAAAUAAACAAGCUAAUUAAAAUCUACUAAGUACUAUGGAGGAAAAGCAUGAUGAAAGAAUAUGGCCUCUUACCAGUUGACAGUUUAUUAAACGGGGUUCCCAUUUUAAACAAAGGGCUGUGGAAAUGACUGAGUUGGCAAAGUGCUUGCUACACAAGAAUGAGAGUCUGAAUUUAGGUCUCUAGUGGACACACAAAACUCUGGGGGCAGCGGUGUACACCUGUGGUCCCAGUGCUGGGAAGGACAGAAGAGGUAGGAGGGCUCGAGUCAAGCAGAAUUAGUGAUCUAGAGGGUCAGUGUGAGGUCAUUUCUCUGAACAUGAGGCAGGGGGCAAUUGAGGGAGACACUCAAUACACACACACACACACACACACACACACACACAAGCAAAUAUAGCCCAUACACAGGAAAGACUGAAUGAAACAUAUUAAGCAGUUCACAGUAUUAUUGCGCGAGAGCCAGGACAUCAGAGCCAGGGUUGGGAUUCUAGGAGGAAUGUUCUGAUAACCAUGGUCUCAUACUGCCCGUUCCCAGCACUACCUCUGCCAUGGGGUAUCACAGCUCCCUCUCCUGCUGCUGGUGGCUAGGUACUCGGGUUUUCAGAUUCUGCCAUAGCAUGGCUGACAGAAACAUACAAGGAACCCCCUAAGUUUUAGCAUGUGUUACUGGUUUUCAAGUCUGUCUGCUAGCUCCAGUGUCUGGGCAUUGGCCAUAGUCACUGCACAGAUCUUAUUUAAGAUUCUGUGUUAAAGCUAACACACAAACAUACAACAGACUUGUAGGGCUUAAAACCAGCGCCUAAAGAGUUAAUUGUUUCUGUAUCAUCCAUCGAUGAACAGUUUGAACAGAAAUAAAACAAUUCCAUUUAAUCCCGUCAUGUGAAAGUUGUAAAAUAUGAAUAAAUUUAGCUAGAGCAAUGAAAUAUUUGAACAUUGGAAAGUACCUACACUUCUGGGACAGCCUAAACAAGUGGGACGCUUCAUAUGUUCAUGGAUCAAAAGAUUAAACCAGGGCUUACAUGACAAUAUCUAAAGUGGCCUACAAAUUCAAUAUCUAUCAAAAUCCCAAAGGAGAUUUUUUUCCCUCCCAAACCUUAAAAUUCACAUGAAUUUCAAGAUAUCUCUGAAAGUCAAAACAACCUGGAAGGCAAAAUAGAAAAUUUAGAGACUUGAAAACAUUUCAUGAAGUUUUACUGAUUUCAGAAUGAAUCUGAUGCCACUAUGAUCAAAAUAGAGUGGCACCGGCAUAAAAGUAGACCCAGAACAAGGGGACAGCUUAGAGGACCCCGAUGGAAACACAUGCAGCCAAUGGAUUUUUUCAAGAAGGGUAUUGAGGUGACUCACUGAGUGGAAAAGAGAGUGUUUUAAAUACGUUCUAGGCAAACUGGACAUCCACCUACAAUGAGAUGAAAUUGUAUACUUACCUUUAUCACACUCAAAAUAGAAGAUUUAAAUGUCACAGCUAAAAUUACGAAGCUUCCAGAAAGAAAGGAAAUACUCAAUGACCUUAUACUGGUUUCUCAAAAAUGAGGUCAGGAAAGCGUCUGUGGAGGAAGAGUGAGAUGUUGCCGGUUCUCCUGAUCCUGACUUCCGGAAGACAGAGACCCAUUUCUUCUACUCUCGUUUGGCAUCUUCACUGGGAGGGAAGACCCUACAUCGAGAAAUGGAGAGCAGAGUCGUGUUAGAGCUGACAACAGUAUGAUACUUAGCAUAAAGUCCAGUCUUAUUCCACACUUCCUGGUUUAGGAGAGGCGACCUGAAGCAUUUUACUCUGCCUGGCUUGUCCCCAACCCAAACCUUGCCCUCUGCUGCCCACCUCAGCCAUGGGAAGAGCCUGGUCCUCCCUGGGCUCAGCUUCCUUCCCCACUUGUCUGUCCUGGUCCAGCAGGAGAGAUUUAGAGUAGAUGAAGUAAUCCCUCUGGCAAGUUUCCAGAUGAAGAACCAGCCUGCCUCCAUUUUUGGCUUGAAAGCCAUCUUAGAGUAAAGACAAACUAGGUUCGUUCCUGUUGAGGAUUAAACGUCUGUUUCUCAAGGAUUGGGCUAUGCCCCACCUGUAACCUUAACUACCAAUGGUUCUGUACCGCCUGUUCCAGGAAUGGCAAUCAUGCCUUUGUUUCAAAAAGUUGUUUAUAGCCAUCUUGCAACCCUACCUGUGUUUCAAAAUGUUACCUGACCACCUAUGACUCCCUUGUUAUGACUAGGACUACCUUGUUAUGUCCACUUUGCAACUACGUCUUUGAUUCAAGAGGUCAUCACGACUAAGUUGUUUGUUCUGCUCCCGUAACCAUGCCUGUUUCCCCACCAAACCCUUCAAUUCGGAACCCCCUUACCCCUAUAAAAGCCUUGUCUCCCUCACAUCCAAUGCUGAGCUCUUGACUCCCUCCUUAGGGGGAGGCAGCCUGUGUAUACGGAUAAAAAGGAUUGCUUUAAUUAAUCUCUUGCUUUAAUGAAUCUGGCUAUGGUGGUCUGGGUUGUGGGUCUUUCUCCUUCCAUGUUCUGGAUGAGCACAGCCUGAGCAACCACCCAGUAGAACUGCUAACUCCUCUCCUCAGGACCAGGAGCUCGCUCUGGCCCUGGGGAUGGAUAACCUAGACUCUGAAGACUGGGUCGAUUCUCGAUUCUUGUUUACCUUCAGGGAGUGAGUGUGUGUGCAAGCACACGUGUGAGGGCGUCUGCCAGACACCCCAGUCUGCAUACAGCUUAUUGAUGGCACGGGGAUGGGUCCAGAUGCUCCUUCAUGCAAAGCAGAAGAGAGUAAAAGGAAGUUAAUGUUGCUUCUCUUUUGCUGAGGAUAGACCAGGUUACCUUUAGUUCCAGAAUGAUGACUAAUGCGACACCUUUAUAUACUCAAAGCCUUUCUGAGUUAUCCAAAAGCAAUGCAUGCGGCCCCACAUCCUUCUCAAGUUAGUUCAGCUGGGAUCUCACUUCCUGCAUCCUCUUGAGAUGUGGGAACACAUUUGGGCUCCUACUGAAGGGUGGGACUGUGGUUCAGUAGGGCCAUUUGGCACGACUUCUUGGAGGUAGAAGAUGUAACCCAUGAGGAAUUUUUCUAAAUAAUUGAGGUUCUGCUGGCUAGGAUGCUGGCCUCAUCUUUAGGAUGUCUUCCUAUGGUGGAGGACCUGGUGUCAACACUCUAUGGCCCAAGUGAGUCUUUCAGAAAUUGUUCACCUCCCACAGGCCGCAGCAGAAACAACAGAUGGAGUGCUGUUUCAGUCUGCUUCAUGGGUCUUUUUAGCAACCCAGCCUGUGCUGCAGGGGCUACGCUUUCGGUCCAGGUAGCCCCAGCAUCACAGAAUGUUCUGCAAUGACUUCAUGACUGGAGAUCAGAGGCUCACAUUACAGGUGACCCAGGAAGACUACUGUUGGCUGAUGUUUUGGAAUACUUAACUAAAUCUGGCACCUUCCUUUCCCCACAUGGACAUGAUGCUGACCAAACAUUUUAAAGCUUUCUGGUUAAGGACAAGAUUUGAAUUCAGGCUAUCUAGUCUCUGAGUCUGUUUCCAUAAUCAACAUUCUUAACUAGUUAUUCAGUUUCUACCCAUGAGAGCUAGGGCCACCUGAACAUAGGUGCCAGUAACCUCAGUAUACCACUGCUCAGUAACCUAGAAUACAAGAAAGAACUCAGUAGCAAACUUGCUAUGGGAUAGAAUCGGCCUUUGGCUAUCUGUCAAGCCUGGACCUUAGACUGUUUCUUCCUGUUGAUUUAGGAAGAGAUUGUCUUACUCUCUAUGCUUCAACACAUGCAAAUCUAUGUCAUGAAAACAUCGGUUUCACAAGGGUCAGGGUGGGGUCCCAGAGAGUCAGAUGUGACUCCAGUCAUGUGCUCCCAAGGGUGUUAGAGGCUGUCACCCCCUUAUUUCAUUAAUAUCUUCUUUAUUUGGAUUCCGUUUUGUGGGGCUCGUCCCUUUUGACCCCAGUGACUGGCACAUGGCUGCCUUUUGUUGUUUGUUUGGGAAGUAGCUGAGUCAGUGCUUCUGAGAGUCUCUCUACAUUGAUCACCAAACACUGGUUUUUAGUAGCGUACAGAUGGCCUGUAAGGCAAGCUUCCCUCAAGCUGAUUGAUAUAUUGAUCAGGGAAAGGUCUUUCUGUGAAGCUCAGGUUUGCUUAGGACUUGUGGUUGUUCUCCUGCGUCCUGAGGGCUAGGAUUAAAAAUGCACACCACCAUGCCUGCCUCCAAGUUUUCACGUCUGCUUUCAAAGGAGAAACAGAGAUAAAUUACAGUCAGACAAAUUUCACAGUAACAAGAUUUUUAAAAAAAGAUUUUUAAUCUUGCUAGGCAAGCGGAAUUUAGAACGCGAGUAAACAAACAUUGAUCAUUCUUAUGAAACCGGGCAAGAACUCUCUAAUAGAGGAGAUGACACGGGACAAUUUAUUAUAAGAAUUUAAACGCUUUAUUGCACAUUAGAUGGAUGGAUGGUGGGUGCUGAUCUACCUGAGUAGCUUUUAUACGCCAUGAAUGGGUUACCUAUAAAACAAGAAUGAGCACAUCUCAAGGAAGAACAUAUUUGGAUCUACCACUCAUCAUAUGUAUAAUUAUUGUUUAACAAUAUUAUGAAGGGCCGAUGAUGAGAUGCAGGUGUUUAAACACGGAGCGCCAAUAGAUUUGACACGGCAUUCAGUGCAGGCGUAUACACUCUUUAAAGGCUCUAUUCACCUCGGAGGACAAUAAAAUGCCACACAAUGGUAAGAGUGUUUGCUAAAAACAUGAAGUGACUGGGUAAUUUUUUUCAAAUGGGCUAUUUUAUACAGCACUAAGUGUUUCUUAACUUACUAGUCUCCGUACACUCUACAUUUUGGGAUGGAAAGGGAAAUCUCUCAGCCGUGUGGGAAAGCCGAGCCCUCUGGAGAUCUUACGCUAUCUCUGAGGUCGGAUGAUGUGCCUUGUUUAGUUCCGAGCAAGUGGACUGCCGAGUGAUGGCCUGCCGCGUUGAUGGGCAUUUUUGGAGAAGAUGCAGCCUAACCUCUCGGUCCCUGGAAGAGGAAAUAGAGGCUGGGAUUUCUCAGUUCACUCUGAGGAGCCGACUCCACAGUUGAACUUGUGGCGUCCCCUAAGUUUUAUUAGGAUCUUCCCACCAUGGCACCUGGCAAAUGCGGGGCUUUACAUGAACUUCCGAGCCCACAGGUUGCACAGGUCUAGUUCCUAGGCCUCACCAAGUAGGUUCUGCGUCGUUCAACCUAAUUGGAUGGAGCUGCCCGUCUUCCAUCUCUGAUUGGUUAAUGCUUCCUUUAGCCCAUGCAUGCUGAUUCAUCGCCAGUUUUUCCUGGAAUACCCGAGUAGAAGUCGGGAAGGAGAGGAAAGAGCCCAUGUCUGCUAAAUAUGCUGUGUGUUUUUACAUGCACAUACCUUUAUAUAAAUUAUCAGUCUUAUACUCUAGACAGUGACAGGUAAUACCAUGUAAGAUUAAAUAUCUUUAAAGGGAAAACGUUGAAGACUUAUGCACUGGCAGUUUUCUUAGUGCCUGGCAUACAGACCACUUAAAUCUCACUGAGCGAGGAAUGAAUGAAUGAAUGAAUGAAUGCAUGCAUGCUAGGAUUUAACAUUGAUCUAAGUCAUUAUCAAAGCCCUGCUAUUAGCUGCUCUUUUGUAUUUUCUAGGUUCGGGAGGGAAUACAUUCACUUCCUUUGUCACUCAUCAUUGUCACUCACUGUUUAACAAAUACAUUUGCUUGUGACAGCAUCUAAGUCUCCCGGGGUUUUAGCACGUACACAUAGCUGUUACCUCGGGGUUUUGUUUUUAUGAUUUGGUGUGUGUGUGUGUGUGUGUGUGUGUGUGUGUGUGUGUGUGUGUGUGUGUGUGUGUUUGCCUGCCUGUCUGUCAUGGAUGUAGGUGACUGUAGGGGCCAGAAGAGGGCAGUGAAUCCCUUGGAGCAGGAUUUACUGGCCUUCAUGAACUGCCUGAAGUGGAUGCUAGGAACUGAACUAAGGUCCUCAGGAAGCAAUGUAAGAGUUUUUAACUGCUGAGCCAUCUCCCCAGCCCAGCCCAGCCCAGCCCAGCCCAGGCCAGGCCAGCCCAGGCCAGGCCAGCCCAGCCCAGGCCAGCCCAGCCCAGCCCAGGCCAGCCCAGCCCAGGCCAGCCCAGCCCAGGCCAGCCCAGGCCAGCCCAGCCCAGGCCAGCCCAGGCCAGCCCAGACCAGCCCAGGCCAGCCCAGGCCAGCCCAGGCCAGCCAGGCCAGCCCAGCCCAGCCCAGCCCAGCCCAGCCCACUCAGCUCAGCUUAGGAUAUUUUUAUUUUUAAGAACAGAAAUGACGUGCUCAUACAAUUAAUUGUUGGUGUUAUCACUGGAAGGUUAGAACAGCCACAGUGCCUUAAUAGAGUGCCAUGAGCAGAGCACCUCCUGAAGCCUGCUGUCCAGGUCCUGCUCUCUCACACCGCGGCUUUCAAACACUUCUGGUGCCCCCCCCCCCAUCUGUGAAAUGUUCGCUGCACUCAGAUGUUUAUUUAAAUGACUUUCACGGAUGUUGGUUUUAGUGGUUUAGUUGAUUUUAGUUGGCUCAGUGGUGAUCUCUCACAGUGCUCUGGGGAAAGGUCUCAUCAUUGACAGGACUUCAUUUUAUUCCAGAUAAACAGCUUCUCAAGACUACUUUCCUUGAGUUAUAGGAGAGGAAAGUUCAAUUCCAAAGCAGUUAAGCAGGGACAUCCUCUUCAGAGGAUGAACCUUGGUUGUAGUUUACAGCCAUACCCUCAGUGAUACGGUCCUUUAUUCAUUGAUCCACCCAGUUAAAAAAUACGUGUAUAUAAAAUAUCUGUAUAUUUAUGUAUUAAUUAUAUUUUAAAAUUCAAUUAAAAUAAAUAUGUAUAUAGCUAUUUUCAUACACAUUAGUAAUUAUAUGAAAUUGAACCCAUGAAAUACAAUUCAGUGUUUAUCAGGAAAACAUCUAUAGUUUUUACACAUAAAGAGAUACCUGCAUCGAGGUUGAUUUGGUGAAGCAUUCUUUUCGAAUGUAAAAAAAAGUCAGAAACAACUUCCGCACUUGUCAGCAAGGAGCACUUUGACUGCUGUGUAAUCCUGUAUGGCUUUAAUGAGUCAGGAUGCUGCAACCACACGGGCACAUCUGUAGGGGGAGGCAAGCUGGAGAGGAUCACAAUGUAGUGUAGUAUUGUGUAUCACAGUGUGACCCGGCGAUGUGCAGGUGUGUAUUCAUCGUGUUGAGCUUUCCAGUGGCCUCUGAAGAGUGAGACGCGUUCUUGCUUGGAUGCAUUUAGCCACACUUGCCUCUUUAUUAGGUUAAUCAAGUGAUGGAUAGAGGAAAGGAUUCUAGGAUGCUUAGUGGCUGCUGUGGAAUGGAUAGGAUUUACUAAUGUACAGGCAAGGUGGGAAGAAUUGUGCGUGAGUGGGCUGCGUGCGUGCGUGUGUGUACACUAGAACUAGAAUAGAGUUGUGGGGAUACAGAUCUUUUGGAGAGAUAGGGACAGGCAGCGGGCACAAGAACAGACCUUAGGAAGGAAGGUGAAAGGUACAGAGUGUCAAUAAUCCCAGUGUACAUUCCUCGAGGUGACCCUUCUUGUGUGACUUCAGUAAAACCUUGAUUUGCUUCCCAGCCAGCUUUUGAAAGUGAGCUUGGUUUUGUGAGGGUCACCCAUACUCCUUAGGGUCACGCAGAGACAACAAUAUGUGUUCUGCUAUGUCUAUAGGAAAGAGUACAUGUAAUUCUAACACCUAUGCCUCAGAACCCCACGAGAACACCUAGGAACGCUUCCACUUUUAAUUAUCUUGAGGGUGGUACAACCUGAGCCCUGAGUAUGCUUUAGGAUUUUAGAGUGAACAGUUACCACUUUUAUAAUUAAGACAUGAAAUUAUAUAUAUAUAUAUUCAAAUAAUAUAGUUUGUAUUAUAAAUUGAAUAGCAACAUUCCUGUAAGGUAGAGUUGCUGUGUGAAAUAGUAAGUUACAUGGUCUUAAAUACAUAUACUUUUGAGACACCUGCUUCGGGGGCCCAAUUUAAGUCACCAUCGCAGCAUGGUAAGGUCUUGGCAGGGAAAGAGUACAUGGACCACAGGGGGGUUCUAGCCAUGUGUUGGAGCAGCUAGCUUACUUCAUCUCGAUAGCUCUUGGGAGAGCAUCCGAGACGACCUUCCCCUUUCUGGCUGGCAGCCUAGGCAUCAGGGCCUCUCUGAUGUCUAGAAAGUCUAACCUGAGACAGUGUUAAAGGUUACAAAACAGAUACUGACAUUGGGUCUGGAAGAUGGCCACUGCGUCCUUCCACUGGAGGUUGCUUCCCAGUGGGAAAUGUCCUCCUCACAUGGGAAGGGGUUGGUGUAGGACUCAAGUUGAAGAAGAGAGGUAAGAAAACAAAACAAAAGCCAAAGCAUCCUGGAAAAUGGUCUUGGAGCUAAGAUGCCAAGAUGUAACAAUUUUCCCCCAUCAAUUUCAGUUCAAGAGAGAGCAAAAUAACAGAUUGGCUGGGGAUACUGACUUAGAGGUGUGGCAAAAAAAAUGAGUGUUUUGUCCUGACCUCCAGUGUGACAGACUUCCCCUGGACAACCCGAGUAAUGCUUUGAAAUCCAGAUCUCCUGGGAGCAUGGGGCUGACAAGCACUUUUCCUGAUAAACUUACUUUAGGGCAAAAUGAAGGUGGGAAACAGUUGCUGUCUGUAGACUCCAAGAGACACAGUGGAGAGAGUUUCAGGUCAGAAACUCCCUGCUUCCCUGCAUUCUUCAGUCAGAUGGCCCUCUGCUGUGUGGGCUGCAGGAGUGGGGUGCAGAAAGGCUUCUUUUGCAGGACAAAACUGGAAGAGUAUGUUUUUCAAAGAAAGCAAAUGCAUUUUUAGGGGAGAAUUAGGAGGUUUGAUAUGCAAGUCAGCACCUUCAAGUGAUGGCCUUUCAUUGUAGCUUUCAGAAGAGCCCAGGCUAGCCCACCUCUGAAAUGAAGUCAGUUGGUUUAUACACUUCCCUUCUACCAAGCUCACCCUCAUUGUGGGAAGCCCUGAGCUCUUUAAAAGGAGACUCUCUUGUACACAAAGACAGAAGUGACUCAUCAAUUUUGUUCAGCGUAUCAAGGACUUGCAGGAUUCAAGGAAAACCAAUCAUACCAAAGAGAAGAACUAAGAGAAUCCAACAGAGAAAAUGUCAACGGUGAACACCGACAGCAUUCAGAAACCAGGAGAAAAACUCCACUCUGAGAAGACAUCUAAUUAGUACACUGGGGGAUUCUGAGAAGAAGCCAGAGGCUAAGAACAGCUGUGUCCUUUAAAAGGAGGCAAUCAGCAAGCCGGGGGAGCUCAUGGAAUGAAGAUGUGAUUGUUGGAAGCAAAAAAUGUUGUAGACAAUGAAGGAAAAUUGUAGAAAACCUGCCAAAGUGGAAGGCAAAAUGACAAAACUAUUUUAAAAAAAAAGCAAGAGAAAAGUUACCUGGGAUGAGUAGAAAAUUGAACAUGGCAAAUGUGUCCCCAAAAGAGCUACAGGGUGAAUCUGGUUUGGGAGAUCAAUGCUCUGAGGCAGGAUAGUGGACAAGAAAAAUUAAGAAGACACAGGAAGAGGACCCAUCCUCUUACCUUGGAGCCUGAUCAUCUCCUGCCAGCCACAAGGCAAGCAUUCUUGCCCGAUUGACAUUUGCUCUGAAGGUUGCCUUGAUAGAACCAUUGCCCCAUGUAUUCAAUUUUAAUCAAAUGUUUGGAUGAUUUAUUUCAUUCAUAUAUUGUGUGCAUGUCUAUGUGUGUAUGUGAAUGGCGUGUGCAUGUGUGUUCUGUGCUCACCUACGGUGGCCAGAAGGGGCAACACGUGUUCCUCUCGCUAUUUCUUUGAGGCAGGUUCUUUCCUUUAGCCUGGUGCUCCGUGUUGGAAGCCAGAAAGCCCUAGCAAUCCUCUUGACCCCUCCCCGCUUGGAGUUGGGGACACAGGUUGUGUGGGAUCUCUGACUUGUUGCGGGGGACUGGGAUCCAAACUCUGGACCUUGGUAUUACAGAGCCACCUCUUCAACUCCUUUUAAAUAAGAACGCUAAGUUAAAACGAAUCAUACUUAAGUGUAAGCAAAUAUUGCCUUAGUACUACCUAGAUUUUUCUGGAAAUCUUAUAAACUAGACUAUCAACUUUUCAUUUUUAGUAGAGACACUCUGGUGUCUAAGUAUUGGAGCCCAGGCCUCUACUCUAUCAGUAUGAUCCUAAACAGUGCCCCUCAGAAGUCAUGGUUUCCUUAAACUCGCUCAGCAACCCUUGAAAUUCAACUUCAGAAUCACCCAUAUCAGCAUGUACGGCAGUUGUAAAGACAACCGAGCGCGAGUCGUUCUUGAGAAAGCCGAGCUCACAUGCUGUGGCAAAGCUGCAUCCAUACUGCUAUUCUUUCGGUUAAUUCCUAUGUUUGGAUCUCUUAAAACAUCUCCCUAACAAAUUCAAACGCUGCUGCUGCCUCUGUAGCACAGACUGCUUUCCUUACCGUGGUCAAAAAUCCUGGCUUUCCCUGGGAGAAGAGCUCCUCCGGCGGCUGCAGAGGCAGUGUAGAGCCGUGCCUGUAGACUCUACCAUUGCGGCGGGCUUCUUACGGACAGGACUAUGAAGACGUAAACUUUUGGGUGGGUGGGGGAGCCACUCACAGGCCCAGAAUCUCGGGACCCCGAUUCUUCCAUCGCUGAGCUUGAAGUCAUUCCCUCCCUAUUCUCCUCAUCUCAGGUGAAACCGUGGGAUCUAUUUUGGACAAUUUAUUUUGUUGCUGCUGUUUUUGUUGCCUACAUUACUCUAGACUGUCGCCGGGCCUGUUGGCACAGGUCUGCAAUCUCAGCUACUCCGAGGCUGAUUCCGAUCUACAUACGAGAUCUUAUCACUAGGUAAGAGCGAUUGCUUUACCUCGUCCUUUCCAACGCGUGUUAUCUUCCAUUGCCUUUCUUCUUUAACCCCACUAUGAUGGGCAGGGCUCUUCUAAUACUGAUAGAUGCGAGAGCUUGUCUUGUUCCAAAAUGUAGAGCUAUCAGUCUUUUAAUUCGGAGCAUAAUGUUAGUUGUGGAUAUAUCAUGAAGUUUUCAUUAUGUAAAGGCCACUAGUCUUAGCUUUCUUGAGCGUUCAUUACCAGGAAAGUUCAUUGAAUCGUUAGAUACAUUAGUUUGGGUUCUACUGAGAUAAUCAUCUUAAAUGAAUUAAUAUAUUACAUCACCGCCCCCCCACCCCCAACAUUGAACCGUCCUUGAAUUCUAAGAAUAAAUUCCACUUGGUCAUAACACAUGAUUAUCAUCAUGUACUAUUGAGUUCAGUUCCCCAGAUCUUUGUUGAGGAUUUUUGAGCCUUUAUUUCUUGGGGGUAUUGGUCUGUAAUUUUCCUGUGGCCUCUAAGAUUGGCUUUGUUAGUAGAAAGAUACUGGUAACACACCUCAUGGUAACACACCUCAUCUUAUUCAGAGUUGACAUUUUAUUUGCAGAAAUUGUGUGUGUGUGUGUGUGUGUGUGUGUGUGUGUGUGUGUGUGUGUGUGUGUGUACAUGUGGACACUAGAGAACAGCUUCAGGUAUUGGUUUCAUUUCUUACUUUUGUUUUUGUUUUGUUUGAGAUUUAGUCUCUCACUAGCGAGAGCUUGCCGACUAGGUUAAGAUGGCUGACUAUCUCUGCUUCCUGAUUUCUGGGUUUAACAUGCUCAGCAAUUUCACAUGGCUUCUCAGAGUUGAACUUAAGGCCCUCAUGAUGGUAAGGCAAACUCUUCACUCCAUGAGCCAUAUCCUCACUGCACUGUAGAACUCAGGGCUCUCCAUUCAAUGCAGAUGAUGGUUUCCUCUCAUUCCUAAUAGCUACUGUUAGGUGCAAUUGCUGUAUCUGUAAAAAAAAAAAUGGACAUAAUACACUGUUUCAUAGAAUGUGUAGCAUGCAUCCAAUGUGUUGAUGUAAACCCCAAUUCAGUGGGGGUAGAGACCACCAUCAACUUGUGAAGUAGUUGAGCAGAAGGGCUAAGGUAGUGUGGUUCUCAAAUUGUGGGUCACAACACCUUUGGUGGCUCUGGGUCAAAUGACCUUUUCACAGGGUCCCACAUCAGAAAUCCUGCAUAUCAGAUAUUUAUAUCGUGAUUUGUAACAGUAGCAAGAUUACAGCUAUGAAGUAGCAACUAACUUAAUUUUAGGGUUGGGGCCAGCACAACCUGAGGAACUGGAUUAAAGGGUUGUUGUAUUGAGGACCUUGGCUGAGGCUGAGGAUUCUGGGAUAUGAAGCACUGUCUGUCUGCUCCCCUUUUCAGGUUUGUGCCUGUUAGUACCAACUCUCUUGUCCUCUGGUAUUGCUGCCUCAUUAGCUCCAUAAACUCAAUCCCCACGAAUCUCUAAGGGGCCUUCUAGUCUCACACGAUUUCCACUUCCCAAGAAGACAGUUUCCCAAUAAAUGGGAACGUAGUCAGAAGCAGCUGAAACAUCCACAUACAGUUUAAAACACAAUCUCCUGCUCUAGAUCUCUCAUGUAAUUGUGAAGGGAUCAUUCAUUUUUUUAAAAGUUUUAUUGGAAAUAGAUUCUUCUCUCAUACAAUACAUCUCGAUCACAGUUUCUCCUCCUCCUACUCCUCCCAACUUCCCCCACCUUCCCACUCCCCCAGAUCCACUUCCCCUCUGUAUCCUCUUCAGGAAAGAGCAGGCCUCCAAGAUACAGCCAAACAGGACACUGUAAGACAAAAUAAGGCAAGGCAAAAGCCCUCAGAUCCAGGCUGUGCAGGGCAACUCAACAGGAGGAAAGGAAGCCUAAGACCAGGCAAGAGACACACUGGCCUCCACUGUUAGGAGUCCCACAAAACACCCAGCUGACAGUUCUAUGCUCUGGUGCAGCCAUGCAGGCCUCAUGCUUGUCACUUCAGUUAGAGGGCAUGGAGAACGUUUCCCACCAAAUCCACUAAGCAGGGCUCACAGAGACUGAAGCAGAAUCACUAUUUCUGAUACUUCUAAGGUGAGAAGACAGAGGCAAAGAAAAGGAAACUCAGGCAGUUUGCUCUUGGUAGAGUCAGGAUUCACCCUGUGCUGUGGUCGCCAUAGAGGUCGACUUUCUAAACCGAGAAUCCCUAUUGAUAAAGGUUGUUGUUGCUAUUGUGCCUUGAUACUGUCUUACCUUUCUUUAAAUCAAAUCAUCUACAUCUCUAAGGCUCAGGAAAUGAGUUUUUGGUCUUUAUUUAAAAAUACCUAAUUUCUGCCUCUAUUUUGACUUUGUAAAUUUUUUCAGUCAUUGUUCCUGAUUGUUAACUCAGCAGUGCCUAUCUCCGUGAAGCACUGCACCUGACACUCCCUGAAGGGCUUUCAGACCCUGGUUUUACCUCUGGGACCAGGGGAAGGAGGCAGGGAACUCAGGACAUUGCUUCUACCUGACUUCUGCUCAGGGGGAGAGUGUGGUGGCUUGCUGAUUGCUCACACCUAGGCCAGCAUUUCAGAGACUCUCCUUCAGAGACUCAGCACCUCCCCCUUUGCUUCAGGAUGCUGUUUGGGCGAAUGCUACCACCGCACAAGCAGACUGAGACCAGAUCAUGCAACAUCGAGUCCCAGAACUCCGAAUGCUUUUAGUUACCCAUUAGCAAAUGCGGAAGAUAAAGCUGCCUCUAAUUAUGAGGGCCAAUAAGAUCAAGAACUCUGUACAACUUAGGGUGUCAGGGGCUAGUUGACCUCUCUGUAUCAUUUUCAUCACAGGUAAAGUGUAGUAGACACAAUCCUGAUUCUGCAAGGUCGUGACCAGGACUUGAGAUGUGUGGUGCAUUUAUGAUGAUGGCCUAUGUAUUAUAGCAAGCGCUCAAGGGCUAGUGCUCCUGUCCCGUAGUGACAGGAGAGCAAAAUAUCUUGCUAGGAAAUAGCCAAAGAUGUCGCACAUCCCACCAAGGUGGUUGCUAACAAGGCUUCCUGCUUAUCACCUUACAUAUUGCAUUGCAGCCCGAUUUCAUCCAUCUUCACCCUUAGAUUUGGCUUCCUGUGCCUAUUUCAAGUGCCUAGUUCAAGUCAUUUUUCUGCUCUGGGUCUCCGUCCUCUCUUCUUUGAGAUACGUAUACAGAGGGCUUGCACUCAGCGGCGCAUCCUGAGACAACGUCCUGUUGUCAGAGCUUUUCUGCUCUCACUGUUUAUCUGCUCGACCGGAAGCUUCACGCUCAGCAAUGGCCAUAAGCCUGAGGACGAACAGUGUGCAGAAGAAAGCACCUUUACUCCAGCUUAACAUGUUUGUGCAGUGACCUCGUUGGGUAACUCCGAGCCCGCUUUGAUACACUUCCUAUUAAAAUUCUGCCUCAUCUGCAUCUUGUCUGUCAGAAAUUACUUGCGCCCGGAGGAAGUCAGGCAGAAAACCUGUUCAACUUCUUGUCCUUUAAGAAACGGCACUUUGAUUUCAGAGGUUCGACUUGGCUAGGUAAUGAAAUUAUCAUGGUGGAACAAGGCGUAGGAAUAGUAAGGAUGAUAAUUCUUCUUUGCCCAUUGUAUGCUUUUGCUAUUCAUAAGUUUUAGGGCCUUAGAUAUUAGAUACAGUUACGUAAGGCCUCAUGAACGGUAAUUAUCUUUUGGCCAAAGAAAAAGCCCAAACGAAUUCUAAGCUGCAUUAUCGCUUGGCUUCUGACAUGAGCUGAUAAUCAGAUUUUCUUGCUUAAAUCCAUGGUGCUUGAACAAUGCUACCCACUGUCUGCGCUUCCCGAUAUUACCCUUAAUUAGAAAGAGCAGAAACACAAAUCUGAAUUAUUUCAAAAUCUGGUUUCCAUGGUCAGUGGUUUGAAAGGCUUAACUUCAUUAUAAAUAAACCCGGUUUUAUUGGCUAAUGAAAUCUGAGAUGUGAAGCCUGGGAGGGUGGGGGCGCAGGGCUCUGAUGUUUACACACCCAAAUAUCCAACGUGGACAGAGUGUUUCAGAAUAAACCAUUGGAUAUUUGAAUUACGAUUUCUUUGUCCCAGGUACAGUGCCAUUUGUGAACCUUACCACCAAGGGGGACCCGAAAGGAGCCGGAAUUUAUGCAUUAUUGAAAAGCAAAAUUUUCAAGUUUAAUUAUAUUUCAAUGGCUAUCAAGGAGAUCUUGACCUAUUUUAUAUAUAUAUAUAUAUAUUCCACUUUGGUCUUUUUCGUUCCUUCUGGAUAUUGAGGUUCAAGGUUAUACAUGUGUGUUGGUCUGCCUGUGUCUACAUAUGCCUCCUCAGUGUUUGGGUCUAAAAUAUUUACAAUGGGCGUGCAUGCUUGCAUGCGUGUGUAUGCGUGUGUGCCUGCGCAGUACAGAAUAAUGAAUGGGCCGGCAUAGGCAGGAACUCAAUUGCAUUUCAUUUAUGGUCCAAUAAAAAGAAGGCUAAUAAUAGCUAAGGGAAACUGACCCCAUUUGACAGACUAAUAAUGGAAGCACAGGUAGUAACUUUGUCCAUCUGUGUGACAACAGGGCACUCUCCUAGGACAUAUAAUGACCUCAAACACUGUCAAGAGUCGUGGUCACAUGUAUCACAGCUGUUCUUCCAGUUUCCCUGUGGCUAGCGAGGACACAGGUGUCUCUUAUACCUUAACUGAGACCCAGAUCUCUUUUCUACUCCAUUUUAAUGUUUCUCAAAAGGACUUUUACCCACUUGCCAUCCCUAUCUUCUCCCUUUCAAUGUUCAUUGAUAUUUUCUGUUCAACUCAUCCACUUCCCUACCCUCUCUGUGCUUGGUGCUUUGUUCCCAUAGAAAUCAUUCAUGACAACAGGAAUUGCCCUGCCGAAUGCGCAGAAUCUGGCUGAAGAUGCUGGAGCUUAGAGAGGAUCAUGUGUGCGGCGACUGUUAGAGGCAGAACUCAGAAUAAAAGUGAUUAAUCCCAGCACUGGGGAUCCGAGCACUGUGUUAUAUUUUCCCUGCCAAGCUGCGUGGCUUCCCUCAAAUCAGUCUUUUUGCCUUCGCAGCUCUAUAUGGUUGGAGAUUCGAAGCCCUUCCCUUCCCAGUCACCUAGCUCAAGAUGAAUAUUUCUGGGAUCCAGGCUCCUGUGAUUUAAGGGGUUCAUUAUGGGACCAAGUGUUUGCCUAGGGUAGUCCUGGUGAGGUAAGAGACAUUGACUUCACUUCCAUAGGGAAUCGUAUGGAGACCAGUUGCCUGAGGCCAGGAAAGGGCUUUUGAAAUAGUUGGCUGGAAACUAUGCUAUAGAUGGUUCUCAGGAAACAGCCAUCUGCCUUAGACAGUGAAGACGAGUGAGGGCUGUUAGCAGACAUUUUAGACUGCCCUCACUUACACAGCUCCUCUCCUUGAAUGCCAAGGAAUUAAUGGCAGAGCUUCUAAUUGGCACAGUGCAAAUUGGUUUCAGGGAGCUAAGACACAGAUGUGAUGCCGUUAGCUCACUCAGAGCCCCGUGGAGCCUGAGCUAGACUGGUCAUGUCAGGCCAGUUGUUCUUAGCCUUGCAGAACCUCAGCUGGGCUAGCUCAGUGUUUCUUAUAAAGACCAAGUGGUUUAUAUAUAACUAUCUUUCUGUAUAUCCCUCAUUAACAAUUAUGAAGAAAGUGGUCAUGAAUUUAGAGAGGUGUGUGUGUGUGUGUGUGUGUGUGUGUGUGUGUACACAAGAGGAGUGGGAGUGGGUUUAGGGGAGUAGAUGUGGUGAAAACAUAUUUAAUCUUUAUAGGAAAUUCUCAAAAUGAAUAGCUUUAAAGGGGAGAAAAUAAAGGAAAGAAGCGAAUUGGGUAUUAAAGCCUCUUUAGGUUCCUGAGGGGAGUCUUUCAGAUGGGAUAGGCUAACAUAUGCAGAGGAGGAAGUUCAGAGAAGCAUUGCGGAGAAAACCAAAGAAACCUGUUCAAACCUGACCCCGCAGGCCCUACACCCGGUACAUGGAGGAAGAGGACAAAAUAUACAAAACACGAGGCCAUCUUUUAAAAAGAAGAGAAGAGAUCGGGAGAACAAGAGGUCACUGGAGAGGAACUGUGUGCUAACCCACAUGGGAGUGGGCGGGAAGUCCCUAGAAAGUAGAAAGGAAAAGUUAAAAUGAGAAAUGAGAGGGGAGAGGAAUAGAAUGAAGGAAAGGGCUGGAGAGAUGGCUCAGCGGUUAGAGCACCGGCUGCUCUUCCAGAGGUCCUGAGUUCAAAUCCCAGCAACCACAUGGUGGCUCACAACCAUCUGUAAUGAGAUCUGAUGCCCUCUUCUGGUGUGUCUGAAGAUGGUGACAGUGUAUUCACAUAACUAAAACUAAAUAAAUCUUUAAAAGAAUGGAGGAAGGGAAGGGAAAUGGGGGCGGGGAAGAGAGCCAACGCACACUGUGAGAGACUAUGAGUUAUUUUUACAAAAACAAGAAAGGAAGAAGAAAGAAAAAGGGAGAAAAGAAAACGGAAGAAAAAAAAGUUCCUAAAAACUGCAAAACAGGAAUUUCCAGGUUGAAGGGAGUGGUCGGAAUGCCCGUCGGUGUAAUGAAAGAAAAGCCACACGAUGGCACUUUAUUGUGAAACCUAUUUCAAUAGUGACAAAGAGAUCUUAAACCUUUUUUUUUUUUUUUUUUUUUUUUGGAGAUAAAUGACAAGGCAUACAAACAAAACAAAUAUCACCCGGGCAGAUCAGAAAAGAACAUAAAUCAGGUGGCACCAGGCAUCAUCAGCCUGAGAUACCAGACGUCAGAGACAGUCAGGAGAACAUGUGUACUGUGCAGUCUUUUAACCAGAAGAUGUGCACGCUCAGUAGAUGACAGACAUUAUUAUUUCCCUGUCAUGUCGCCAGGUAUUGUUCUUAGGCAUUUUAAACUGGUAGGAAGUGACCUCCCAGGAUAGAAAGACUCUCUAUAAAUGACAUAGGGGAAAGACGCAGACUCUAUUCAGUUUUUUUGUCCUUGCCCAAUUGACUGUGAGGAUUUAAGAUUUAUUCUGAAAAAAAGUUUUUUACAGACACUGUUAAUCCCUGUAAAUAACUUGUGGAUCCUGGAGCAAAAUGAAAAUGUCACUUCUUAAUGGUAAUAAAACAAACACUUUAGCUUUGAAAUAUCCUAAAAAAUCAGAACUCACAAAGUUAAAAAAUGACAUUUUUGCAUCAAUUUUGCACAAUAUGGUGAAUAAUGCUUCUUCAAUGUUGUGUCUUAAUUGAUCACAAAGAUUUUUCUCUGGCUUGUUUCCUAUAAAUGUACUUAUAAGGACAUUUUAAAAACCCUUUGCUUUUAGCACGUUCCUUUUCAAUAUUGUAAAUAAUCUCUGACGACUUUUUAUUUUCAGAAGAACUGUUUUUUAUGUGAACUAUAUAUACACUAUAUAUACCACACCGCUGUUGACAUUGUUUAGUGUAUUGUAUAGUUUCUCACACCAUUGGGCUAGAUCUUUGAGAAAUUAUUUUGAAAUAAAAGUUUUAAUACAUCUGGAGUUGGUUAUUCCUACAGAGCGUUUUACAUUUUUAAAUGUACUUUAAAAAAAUCUUUAUGUCUGCGUUCGCCUGCAUGCGUGCUUGCGCCCUGCAUGCCUGGCUGGCUCCCUUGAAGGUCGUAAGAGGGUAUAUGAAACCCCUUUGAAACCAGAGUGGCAGCAGCUUGUGAACUGCCACGUAGGGGUGGGACAGAACCGGAGUUGCCUGGAAGACCGUCCAGCGCCUCUAACCACUGAACGAUUUCUCAAUUUCCCUAGCCUACAGAAUCGUUUCAUAAGAAGUAUCUUCACCUACAAAUCCAUUUUACACGAGUCUGCUCGACAAGGGCCACAAUGUUCCCUUGUUUCUUCUGAAAUUUCCCGUAACUGUUGAAUGUUAUAAGAAGCCGAGAGGGCCUGCGGUAGGCAUGCCCCUAAGGAGUAUAGUUUCAACUUUUUAUGAGAUGGCUUACUGUGCGUAUUGUCAACAACAACAACAGCAGCAACGAUAAACCUCUUGAUCGUACGCAUAAGUGUUAGUAGUAAGUGUUGUCUCUUUAACUUGGGGGAGAGGUAGAUUUCCUAGAAAUUUCCUCCCAAGGCAGAGUGAGUUCCAGCAUUAACUAUGCUAUCUCUUAUCAGAAUCGGUUUUACCCAGAGUACUCUGCUUCUUGAACCCUCAUCUUACAAAAACAGCAAACUCAGCCCCAAGAGCAAGAAGCACAGGAGGUAGUCCAUCCAGCACAGCCUGUCUUAUGUGAAGAGAGAUAGAAAAGCUGUGCUCAGAUAACCGUAGCAGCUCUGGCUUCUGCGCUUGCACUGGGAAGCCCUCAUUCAAGGAGUUUUGACAUAAUUUCACAGUUUGCCUCAACUAAAGUUUCUGUAACCAAUAGGAGGGGGGUGCGGUGAUGUGCUCAAAUAUAAAUGUUUGUUUUACCCAAACCAUAAUGGCCCAAAGUUGUAGUCUGGACUCCCAAGUUCAUGAGAGUAAAAUAAAAGUGAGAAAAAAACAAACAAACAAACAAAAAAAAAAAAAACAAUCGACGGAAGCCUUUCUGUGUGGAGGGAAUAGACUUGCCAGGCAGGUCCCUGUUUUAGGUCGCUGGGUUUGAUAUUGGUUCCCUUUCUCCUUUGUUGGUGUGCAGAACCAACACCAUGAACACCAUGAACACAAGACAGUGGC
Molecule: non-coding RNA, 22708 nt
Organism: Rattus norvegicus (Norway rat)
Lineage: Eukaryota; Metazoa; Chordata; Mammalia; Rodentia; Muridae
Source: RefSeq, a predicted model, not a curated record